CCUCAGCCUCCAGAGUGCUGGGAUUACAGGCGUCGCCGCCAUGCCUGGCUCAACAAAUAUUUCUUGACUUUAGUGUGGGUCAAGUGCUGUCCUGGAAGCUGCACAAGAAAGACAAUACUGAUGCUAAUGCCAAUGCUAAUGCUAAUAAUUCAGUUCAGAAAUACUGAGUCUGGGUUGCUGACAUCUUACAGAGUGAAGAAGAGAUGUGAGGUAGAAAUCGGACAUAUUCCUGCAUAGUGCUCAGCGUGGAGGCGGGCAUGGCAGUGAGAUGUAAACACCUUAAACACAGCCGUACACCUCCAGCGUGAGGUACUGGUGACGAGGAAGGAGUCAGCGAGGGCAUCGUGCACGAGGUGUGUCGUGGAAGCACAGGCGCCCUGAGCACUGAGGACAGGAAGUGACUGUGGAACUAACGAGGUGAAGGUCACGUGACCCAGCCGUGCUCUUGACCGCUACAAUCCUGCGGAGAAAGGAAGCAAAGUCAGAGAAGGCUCAGUCUCCUGCAAGAUCCUGUCCCAGAGGAUUCUCCUUCAACUUUGGUGCUGUCUCCUGCCUUGUUGUGUGGUACUGUAUUAUUGGACUCUGUUCAGAUCUGCUGUACUUUUAUAAUAAACUUUUAUCUAUAUAAAA
Molecule: long non-coding RNA, 630 nt
Organism: Chinchilla lanigera (long-tailed chinchilla)
Lineage: Eukaryota; Metazoa; Chordata; Mammalia; Rodentia; Chinchillidae
Exons: 2
Source: RefSeq, a predicted model, not a curated record